UACGGAGGGGGCUAGCGUUGUUCGGAAUUACUGGGCGUAAAGCGCACGUAGGCGGAUUGGAAAGUCGGGGGUGAAAUCCCGGGGCUCAACCCCGGAACUGCCUUCAAAACUCCCAGUCUGGAGGUCGAGAGAGGUGAGUGGAAUUCCGAGUGUAGAGGUGAAAUUCGUAGAUAUUCGGAGGAACACCAGUGGCGAAGGCGGCUCACUGGCUCGAUACUGACGCUGAGGUGCGAAAGCGUGGGGAGCAAACAGG
Molecule: ribosomal RNA, 253 nt
Filed under: uncultured bacterium
Lineage: Bacteria
Description: partial 16S ribosomal RNA
Rfam family: Bacterial small subunit ribosomal RNA
Source: RNAcentral